UACGAGGGGGGCAAGCGUUGUUCGGAAUUAUUGGGCGUAAAGGGCGCGUAGGCGGUGCGGUAAGUCACCUGUGAAAACUCUGGGCUCAACUCAGAGCCUGCAGGCGAAACUGCCGUGCUUGAGUGUGGGAGAGGUGCGUGGAAUUCCCGGUGUAGCGGUGAAAUGCGUAGAUAUCAAGUGGAACACCAGUGGCGAAGGCGAGUCCCUGGACAACUCCUGACACUGAGGCACGAAAGCUAGGGGAGCAAACAGG
Molecule: ribosomal RNA, 253 nt
Filed under: uncultured bacterium
Lineage: Bacteria
Description: partial 16S ribosomal RNA
Rfam family: Bacterial small subunit ribosomal RNA
Source: RNAcentral